RNAcentral lists this ribosomal RNA (712 nucleotides) under uncultured bacterium. Its description in RNAcentral is "bacterial SSU rRNA". It matches the Rfam family "Bacterial small subunit ribosomal RNA", at positions 56 to 749 of the family's 1533-position model. The record is from RNAcentral.
UGCAAGUCGAGCGGACGAUCCAAAAGCUUGCUUUUGAAUCGUUAGCGGCGGACGGGUGAGCAACACGUGGGCAACCUGCCCUGUAGACGGGGAUAACACCGAGAAAUCGGUGCUAAUACCGGAUAAUACGAAAGACCGCAUGGUCUUUCGUUGAAAGGCAGCGCAAGCUGUCGCUACAGGAUGGGCCCGCGGCGCAUUAGCUAGUUGGUGAGGUAACGGCUCACCAAGGCGACGAUGCGUAGCCGACCUGAGAGGGUGAUCGGCCACACUGGGACUGAGACACGGCCCAGACUCCUACGGGAGGCAGCAGUAGGGAAUCUUCCGCAAUGGACGAAAGUCUGACGGAGCAACGCCGCGUGAGCGAAGAAGGCCUUCGGGUCGUAAAGCUCUGUUGUUAGGGAAGAACAAGUACCGCAGUCACUGGCGGUACCUUGACGGUACCUAACGAGGAAGCCACGGCUAACUACGUGCCAGCAGCCGCGGUAAUACGUAGGUGGCAAGCGUUGUCCGGAAUUAUUGGGCGUAAAGCGCGCGCAGGCGGUUCCUUAAGUCUGAUGUGAAAGCCCACGGCUCAACCGUGGAGGGUCAUUGGAAACUGGGGGACUUGAGUGCAGAAGAGGAGAGCGGAAUUCCACGUGUAGCGGUGAAAUGCGUAGAGAUGUGGAGGAACACCAGUGGCGAAGGCGGCUCUCUGGUCUGUAACUGACGCUGA